CUCAAAGCCGCCACACCCACCAUUCCCCUCUUCCGCCUCCUCCUCCUUCCCGGAUCCGUACUACCGCAACACCCACUCGUCUCCUCCUCUCUCUCUUCUAGCUUCCUCCUCCUUCAUGAUCUCUGCGUCGGCCGCAGCCUGAGAGGAGCAGCGGCGACGAUGUCAAGUUGCGAAGCGGUGGCGCUUGGGCGCGAGGCGGCAGAAGCAGCUACCCCGGGCCCCGGUUUGGGGGUUCGGUUCCAUAGCGCCGACGGCUUCUCCGUCUACAACACCGGGGCCAGCUAGUGUUCGUCGUGACCACAGCCGACCACCUCUCGUCGCUAGGGUCCAUGACGGCGGCCGGGUCAGGCUUAAGCGGAACUGCAGGAGGCCAUGAAGGCCACGGCGGCUGCUGGUGGAAGCAGCGGGUUUUGAAGGAGCGGUAGAUGUGGGUCCGCGGUUGGGGAAGACUCGCCGGCUGGGCGACGGCGAGCGCCGGUGAUGGCAACGAAAGGAAGCCAGGCGUCGGGGUACCGCAACAAUUCGGGUGCCUGCGGCAUGACAACAUUGCAGAAGCAUGCAGCGUUCUUCGACGGCGACAAGGACGCGGUUUUUUUCCAUUCAAUUUUUUUGGUUCCAUGUUAUCUGUAUCUUGGUGAAUGUACAACGCUAAUGUUCAGUUCAUUGUCUCAGUGUUUUUUGGCGGAGGUGUGUUCUUGUCUUGCGAGGUUCAUCCACCGUCGACGACACCUGCAACUCGUUUGGUAUAUUUGGUUAAUCAUAACCAGCAAAGAGGAGGAGUCGCAUACGUGCCUGGUAUUCUUUGUGUUGUAUGAAGUGUUCCUUCAACUAAUCAAGCAAUCUGACAUUAGUACUUUGUUUGAGCCACCGCCGAACGCUCAGCGAUGGGUUGAGUUGGUUGAGGUGUAGGUGGAGCAUUUGCUCGCCGAGGAUGGCACGUGCGCGAGCUGAAGUACGACGCCGGCCAACUUCGGCCUCUGAGGCUUCCCUGACGCGCUCCUCUACCACUACCUCCUCAACAACAAGGGCAACUCUGAUGGCAGCCAGUUGGAGUUUGCUAUGUUACAUAUGCAAGUCCUUUUGAAAUCUGAAACUUCUGUGUGGUGAUGAGUUUCUGCUCAUCUUGAUUGAUUCAUCUCCAGUGAACGGGGAUUCGUCCUUCCAUUGUGCUCAGCCACAAACCGAUUUGGAGGGGAAAUAGGAGAGCCUGACGAAUAUGAGCAUAAUAUCUAUGCAUAUUUUGAGUUUUUUAAGCCUAGUACUCUCUAUUUUUCAAUCUUAAAAUAGCAUGCCACAAGUUAAAAUACAGAAAAUUAAGUCACUGACCCAGUCUGUACAUAAUAUCUAUGCAUAUUUUGAGUUUUUUUUAAGAAUCUAUAUGCUCAAAUACUCAAUUUGGCACUUGCCAUACAGGCAAAAGUGCUACCUUAAAUUUGUAGCUCUGAUAAAAAAAUAAUUUCAAACGUAUCUGAUGGUAAAAAAGAUAAUGACGGGAAAACUACACACCAUUCAUCCAAGUGAAAGUCAGAGUUUCUCUUCUGAAGAGUACUUACUAUAUAGAACCACAUCUUUGUCAGGUUUAUUCUGUAUAACUGGGAAUACAUGUUUCAGGAGCCUAUUGUUUCUGUUGAUCGCAGUUACUAUCUUGUGUAGGUUGCAAUAUCUGCCAGCUUUGUAUUCUUUUUGUCAAUUCUGUGUUGGUAGGUUGGUCCAUACGGUAAAGCUUAAAACUUCUGAAAUAGACAUCUAUGGAUAUGGACAUGCUAAACAUUUUCAGGAAUGUAAGAAGGCAGUAGUCUCUUGAAAAGUCAUUUGAUCUCGCAAGAGAGAAGCUUCCUGGAACAUUUAAUUAUUUUUCUGUUGUGUUAUUGAUUUCACCAGUUUUAUGUCAGCCGAUUAAUUCUGAAGGAUUCUAAACUUCCUGAUAUAUGUAUUUAGAGCAUUUGCUGAGAUUUGAUGCAAAAUACUCAUGGCCAGGCAUUAUACUGUGCAUAAGCACAAUUUUUCAGUUUUUCUUUUUCUUGUUGCGGCAGUUUUUCUACAGCAAUAGCCAAUAGUGUGACAUCACACUACUCCAUUUUCACAGGCCAUGGAACAAUAAAUAUCUUGGCAAGGGAUACCCUAUGGUCUACUGUUAUAACUAUGUGUGCACUUUGGAUCUUUUGGAUGUCUUGUUUAGCAUCCUUUUUGACAGAGUUGAUUAAUUUAAUAGUGAAAUAGUUGGUUAUGUCAGAUGUGUAAUACUGGUUGUGGUAUCUCACAUUUGUCAAAUAUUCAUAUGUUGCUGGUAGUCAUGCUUAUGCCUAGGAUAUUAAGUAACCUUGUGCUAUGCUGUGACUAAAUAAAAGCAAUGUUUAGACUUAUCUUUUGUUUUCUCUACUUAAAGAGUCCCGUGUUUUGCAGGGUCUAACCAGGAAGGAUUGUGGGUUCAUAAUUUCAUGCCAAGACCCUAAAAGCAUUUUUGUCUCUUGCUUCGACUAUCAUAUCUAUUUUCUCUGUAAAUUCUAGACCUGCAGUUCAGAUUAUGAUCUUUGUAUGCCCUUUUUUUGUACCUUCUGAAGUAGGCUAACAUUACAAAAAAGAGCCACAUGUUUUAGAAAUUGAAUUAUGUGGUCACCAUGACAGCUUUUCAAGUUAUGGUUCUUUAGCCAUUUAAUGCAGUAUUGAUGGUGUAGUGUGCUUCAUGAAAUGAAAUAUAGUGCAUAGUUCGUCAGUUUUGAGACUUACCCACAUCUUUUUGCUACUCCUUUUGCCCUGCACCAUAUUUUCUUACAUGUAUUGCUUCACCCGUCACCAUAGAGGUCUUACCUCACCAGGACCAUGGAGCCGCUAGGAGUACGAUCAAUAUAUGAUCAUUCUUAGAGUUGAAAUUCUAAUUUUCACAUUUAAUCAAUUCCUUCAUCAAGUGAGUCAUAGUAAACCACUAAACAUGAAUCUUAUGUGUAUAUAUUACUUCUUCAUUUGCCACUUAUUUUGUUCAAAAUAUUUUUAUGAUAUUUCUAAAAAAGCUUAAGGUUAGAGAUGCGGGGCUAUUGUAGGAUGGAACAUAAAUUAAUGUUAAAAUAUUUUUUGAAUUUCCUUUAUAAACUACAAUACAAGAUAUGUUUGGGCCACACGAUUCUAUUCCAAAAAUUUAAACAACUAGGCAAUUGACGACACAUCAAAUGUUAUGUAUUGAUAUAGGUCAUAAUGGUUUUAUUCUAUGACAAGCUUAAUUUGCUUAUAAUGUAACCAUUUCAAGGAUUGACGAGUUUUUAAGCCAUAUGACCUUUGCACACUCAAGUUACACGUUGUAAAUGGCUCAUGUCUUGCACUGUUUUCGCUUUCCAAGCUACAGUCUUUUGAUAUACUCCUUCUAUAAACUAAUAUAAGACUAUUUAGAUCACUAAGUUUAGCAACCUUAAUGGUUUUAUAUUAGUUUACAGAGGGAGUACUUGAAAGGACAUUCUUUAUAUGUUGUUUGAUUCUAUCAGCCGUACAACCUAAAUUAAAAAGUAGGGAUCUACGCAGUGUAGUGGAACCAUUGUGCUUGCUGCAGUUUUAUUAUAGUGUUGAAAUGUUUUACUUAGUUUAUUCUGUACUUAAAAAUAUAUUUUUCCAGCCAUUGUUUUCUAAAUGUUUUCCUUAGUUUUAUUAUACCUGAUAUGGCCUUUGAAUAUGCUGAUAUGGCCUUUGAAGUUUCUGUUCUAUAACAAGCUUUGCACUGGUCUACUUGAGCAUGGUAUGGUUCAUUCUUUUUUGUUGCAGCUAUUCCAGAGAAGUUUAGAGCUCCACAACCUUAUGAAGACUUGAGUAGCAGAGAUGAAACAAUCAAUUAGAUGAGAUGCAUCACAUGAUUUUUUUUUCUCUUGACGUUGAUGGGUAUUGAACCUAUAGAUCAACUUAUCAAUGGAACCCUUAUCAGUGUUGAGAAUAUGGCACAAAAACUCAAACACAGGACGAUCAGCCGAGGGAAGAAGCUAAGAAGCAUCAGGAAGGACUUUUAGGAUGGUAUUGCGGUCAAAUGCAUCCUAGGAUAGGUCUUUAAGAAUUAUGGUGUGUUUCACUCCUUUUUUGUUUACCUUGCCACAUUUGUUAGCCUCAAUUUGUUAUUAUCCUUCUAAACAGGUGCAGAACUAAAACUUA
Triticum dicoccoides is the source of this 4125-nucleotide long non-coding RNA. RefSeq lists it as uncharacterized. The record is from RefSeq and is a predicted model, not a curated record. Lineage: Eukaryota; Viridiplantae; Streptophyta; Magnoliopsida; Poales; Poaceae. The transcript is spliced from 4 exons.